RNAcentral lists this ribosomal RNA (432 nucleotides) under uncultured bacterium. RNAcentral's name for it is "partial 16S ribosomal RNA". It matches the Rfam family "Bacterial small subunit ribosomal RNA", at positions 29 to 506 of the family's 1533-position model. The record is from RNAcentral.
AACGAACGCUGGCGGCAUGCCUAACACAUGCAAGUCGAACGAGACCUUCGGGUCUAGUGGCGCACGGGUGCGUAACGCGUGGGAACCUGCCUUUAGGUUCGGAAUAACUCAGAGAAAUUUGAGCUAAUACCGGAUGAUGUCUUCGGACCAAAGAUUUAUCGCCUUUAGAUGGGCCCGCGUUGGAUUAGCUAGUUGGUGGGGUAAAGGCCUACCAAGGCGACGAUCCAUAGCUGGUCUGAGAGGAUGAUCAGCCACACUGGGACUGAGGCACGGCCCAGACUCCUACGGGAGGCAGCAGUGGGGAAUAUUGGACAAUGGGCGAAAGCCUGAUCCAGCAAUGCCGCGUGAGUGAUGAAGGCCUUAGGGUUGUAAAGCUCUUUUACCCGAGAUGAUAAUGACAGUAUCGGGAGAAUAAGCUCCGGCUAACUCCGU